RNAcentral lists this ribosomal RNA (497 nucleotides) under uncultured bacterium. RNAcentral describes it as "partial 16S ribosomal RNA". It matches the Rfam family "Bacterial small subunit ribosomal RNA", at positions 28 to 507 of the family's 1533-position model. The record is from RNAcentral.
GAUGAACGCUGGCGGCGUGCCUAAUACAUGCAAGUCGAGCGAACAGAUGAGGAGCUUGCUCCUCUGACGUUAGCGGCGGACGGGUGAGUAACACGUGGAUAACCUACCUAUAAGACUGGGAUAACUUCGGGAAACCGGAGCUAAUACCGGAUAAUAUAUUGAACCGCAUGGUUCAAUAGUGAAAGACGGUUUUGCUGUCACUUAUAGAUGGAUCCGCGCCGCAUUAGCUAGUUGGUAAGGUAACGGCUUACCAAGGCAACGAUGCGUAGCCGACCUGAGAGGGUGAACGGCCACACUGGAACUGAGACACGGUCCAGACUCCUACGGGAGGCAGCAGUAGGGAAUCUUCAGCAAUGGGCGAAAGCCUGACGGAGCAACGCCGCGUGAGUGAUGAAGGUCUUCGGAUCGUAAAACUCUGUUAUUAGGGAAGAACAAAUGUGUAAGUAACUAUGCACGUCUUGACGGUACCUAAUCAGAAAGCCACGGCUAACUACGUG